GACGAACGCUGGCGGCGUGCUUAACACAUGCAAGUCGAACGGUGAAGCGCCUUCCUUUUUGGUGGGUGUGGAUGAGUGGCGAACGGGUGAGUAACACGUGAGUAACCUGCCCCCUUCUUCUGGAUAACCGCAUGAAAGUGUGGCUAAUACGGGAUAUUCUGGGUCUGUCGCAUGAUGGGUCUGGGAAAGAUAUUGUUUCGGUGGGGGAUGGGCUCGCGGCCUAUCAGCUUGUUGGUGGGGUGAUGGCCUACCAAGGCGGUGACGGGUAGCCGGCCUGAGAGGGUGGACGGUCACACUGGGACUGAGACACGGCCCAGACUCCUACGGGAGGCAGCAGUGGGGAAUAUUGCACAAUGGGCGCAAGCCUGAUGCAGCGACGCCGCGUGAGGGAUGGAGGCCUUCGGGUUGUGAACCUCUUUCGCCAGAGAAGCAGGCCUGCCUCGUUUGUGGGUGGGUUGACGGUAGCUGGAUAAGAAGCGCCGGCUAACUACGU
RNAcentral lists this ribosomal RNA (493 nucleotides) under uncultured bacterium. RNAcentral's name for it is "partial 16S ribosomal RNA". It matches the Rfam family "Bacterial small subunit ribosomal RNA", at positions 28 to 506 of the family's 1533-position model. The record is from RNAcentral.